UGAUUGUUCGAACACGUUAUUUAUUUAUUGACUAACAACGAGCGGAGCUCGACAGCACCGAAUUAAAAACGUAGAAACGAACGUUUAAGGAACCCUAAAAUGUUUGAAGCUUUGCACCGAGAGAAUAUGAGAACGAUAAUGAUUGAGGCCGGUGGGUAGGCGUACGUUUUUCGUUAGGAACGGACGGUAUAACUGAACCCAUUAUUGCGUAUUUGUCGGUGAACGUAGAGC
Non-coding RNA from Cinara cedri, 231 nucleotides. NCBI's taxonomy places the organism in Eukaryota, Metazoa, Arthropoda, Insecta, Hemiptera, Aphididae. The record is from the annotation of a GenBank genome assembly.